Vidua chalybeata is the source of this 3207-nucleotide RNA transcript. It is a transcript of the gene named KH RNA binding domain containing, signal transduction associated 2, with no coding region annotated. The record is from RefSeq and is a predicted model, not a curated record. NCBI's taxonomy places the organism in Eukaryota, Metazoa, Chordata, Aves, Passeriformes, Viduidae. The transcript has 13 exons.
CACCGGCGAGCGGGCGGCCGAGGGCGCGGAGCGGCGAGCCCGGCGUGCCCGCGGCGAUGGAGCAGGACAAGUACCUGCCCGAGCUGAUGGCCGAGAAGGACAGCCUGGAUCCCUGCUUUGUUCACGCGAUGCGCCUCCUGGAAGACGAAAUGGAAAAAUUUCAGGGUUCAGAAGGCAAGAAGGAAGAUGAAGAAAAGAAAUAUCUUGAUGUUAUCAGCAACAAAAACAUAAAGCUGUCAGAGAGAGUUCUGAUCCCUGUCAAACAAUAUCCAAAGUUCAAUUUUGUUGGGAAAUUGCUUGGACCAAGAGGAAACUCUUUAAAGAGGUUACAAGAAGAAACAGGUGCAAAAAUGUCCAUCCUGGGAAAAGGAUCCAUGAGGGAUAAAGCUAAGGAGGAAGAACUAAGGAAAAGUGGAGAAGCCAAAUAUGCACACUUGAGUGAUGAGCUCCACGUAUUAAUUGAAGUGUUUGCUCCACCUGGGGAGGCGUAUUCUCGUAUGAGUCAUGCCUUGGAAGAAAUAAAAAAAUUCCUGGUUCCUGAUUAUAAUGAUGAAAUUCGCCAGGAGCAGCUGAGAGAACUUUCGUAUUUGAACGGUUCUGAGGAUUCAUCACGUGGACGGGGCAUUCGAGGAAGAGGGAUCCGUGUGCCACCUGCAGCUCCUUCAAGGGGACGUGGGGGUGCCAUUCCUCCCCCGCUGCCUGGACGAGGUGCCCAAGCACCCCGAGGAGCGCCGGUGACACGCGGCGCGCUCCCUGUGCCACCGGUGGCCAGGGGCGUCCCCACGCCUCGCGCCAGGGGCGCCCCGUCCGUGCCGGGUUACCGACCGCCCCCGCCGCCCGCACACGAGGCCUACGAGGACUAUGGAUACGAUGAUGGAUAUGGGGGUGAAUAUGAUGAUCCAAGCUAUGAGGCAUAUGAUAACAGUUACGCCACCCAAACACAAAGUGUGCCUGAAUAUUAUGACUAUGGUCACGGAACAAGUGAAGAGGCUUAUGACAGCUACGCACAAGAAGAAUGGGCCACGACCCGUUCCAGCCUAAAGGCACCACCUCCAAGGUCAGCCAGAGGGGGAUACAGGGAACACCCCUAUGGUAGAUAUUGAAGGUCCUCCUCAUCUGUGACCUCAUCUCAAAGACAAUUAAUAGCCUGUGGUCUCCACAUAAACAGCAACAAGACAAGGACUCACAGGCACUGGACAGCUAAGCAGCAGAUCUGCUGGGAAGUGGUCAGAUUUUUGGAGCCCUAGGGAAGUACUAUACCUUUUGAAUGGUGUUCAGGGAAUUGAGAGUCCUCAACAUCAUUUGCAAUAAAUCACUUGCUUCUGAAGGACAGCCUCGGGUUGGGACUCUCCACAGCCCUGAGUUCUGGACCUACCAUUACCACCCUCUCUAGGAUAUGCCACCACUCAGACUUACAAUGAUCUUCCAGUCUAUAAGGUACAGAGUACUUCAUUAUGUGCAUGAACAGAAAUGCUUAAAUGGAUGAAGCAGCUAUUUACGUCUGAUAGGAGCUAAGUGGGACAUUAAAUUAAUGCCAAACAAAGCUCGUCGUGGAAAGACAAAUUCACACUCUGCAUGAUGAAAUUAGCAGCAGAUGCAUUAAUAAUUGAAUAAGGAUCUCUGGAGACACACCACAGCUCAGAAAGAGAGUUGUUGACUGGCUGGUUUAAGUAGAGGCUUCUGUUCUUAUAUAUAUGCACUUACAUAAGCCAUGAGUUAAGAGCUGCUGCCUGUAAGUAGCCUUUGAUAUCAAAUCCACUUCCUGCUCUUGGAAGACUUUGCAUACUUACAUUUGACAGGUCCACAGGCAGACUGACACCAUUAAUCUGGGCAAAGUGUGGCUUUGCUCAUUCCCCCUUCUCUCUGACUGUUCUUAAACUUCAAGGCAAACUGAAUGCAGUUUCUUUAGAAAUCAUCUCCAGACAAUGAGUGGGAUAUGAGUGACUGGAAGACUUUCACUGUAUGCCAGACCCUUGUCAUGGACCUCCAUUUCUGUAGGGUUGAAAGUUUCCUGAAGUGCUAAUCCCAGCUUCUCUCACAGAAGGAUUAGGAUACUGCCAUCUUCCUUUCCAGCAAACGUGAUGUUCUUUGAUUUAUCCGCAUGCCCAGGUUUGAGAGGAAAGGAAUUUCACAGAAUCACAAAGAGACCACAGUAAGUCAUCUGAUCCCACUUCUCUCCUCAAGAAGGCCCAUCCUAGAGCACAUUGCACAGCCUUGUGUCCAGACAAUUCUUUAAUAUCUCCAGUGAGGGAAACUCCACAACCUCUCUGGACUAUCUGUUCCAGUGCUCAGUCACUGCAAAAAGUUUAAAGAAGUUCCUCCUCAUAUUCAGGUGGAAUUUCCUAUGCCUCAGUUUCUGACCAUUGUGUCUUGUCAUAUUGCUCGGCACCACUGAGCACAGCCUGGAAACAUCUUCUUGACACCCUCCCUUCAGAUGCUGAUAGACAUUGAUGAGGUCCCCUCUCAGUCACCUCUUCUCGAGGCUCAAUUGGCCCAGCUCCCUCAGCCUUUCCUUGUAAGAGAGAUGCUCCAAUCCCUUAAUCAUCUUUGUUCCCCUCCACUGGCCCUGCUCCAGGAGCUCCAUGUCUCUGCUGUCCUGAGGAGCCCAGAACUGGACACAGCACUCCAGAUGUGGCCUCACCAGGGCUGAGUAGAAGGGCAGGAUCCCCUCCCCUCAACCUGCUGGCAAGUGCUCUUCUGGGCCACAAGAGUACACUGCCAGCUCUAUUUGUGUCUUUUGGACAAUAGCAAAGAAAGCAAGAGGAUUGCCAGAAAAAUAACUCUGCUUUUUAAAGAUACUACCAACUCUUGGAUGUAAUUUUUAAUAGUUACUUUGCAAUCACACCAAAUAAUAUUAUGCUCAGAAGAUAUUGACAAAAUAGUGUGAGAUUUCAUCCACAGCAAUACUAUUGGAGCAAAUGCUUCUGGGUUUAAAAUCAGAACUUUAUUGCACUAUUGCCAAGAGAGUGAUAGUAAUUUGAAUAGUCUUAAAAUUUGUUCCAGAUUGAAGAAAGCCAAGAUUUAGCACAGUGUUACUAGAUUAACUCCACAGAAUUCUCCUAACUAUGCACGCAAACUUCAGUCACUGGUUUUGAGCACAGGUUGAAUUUACUUCUGUGAUUUGCUUUCCUCCAGGUUUUUUUAUAAAAAUCUCAGGAUCUGUAAUAGAAACUUACCUUCAAAUUAUCUAUCAGUGUAUUUUCUGGA